Long non-coding RNA from Erinaceus europaeus (western European hedgehog), 664 nucleotides. RefSeq lists it as uncharacterized. The record is from RefSeq and is a predicted model, not a curated record. The transcript has 3 exons. Lineage: Eukaryota; Metazoa; Chordata; Mammalia; Eulipotyphla; Erinaceidae.
AGUUAUUGAUCUGAAAGAUAAAUAGAAAAAAGAAAUUGUAAAAGGACAUCCUUUCAUACAGUGAGACAUCACAGUACAAGCUGAAGAUACCUUAACAUGACUUAUUAGAAUUUAUAUGUCUUUUAAUAUAAAGUAUCCUUUUUUUUUUUUUUUUUAACCAGAGCACUGUUAAGCUCUGGCUUACGUGGUGUGAGGGAUUGAACCCGGGACAUGGGAGCCACAGAUUUGAGAGUCUCUUUCCAUAGCCAUUAUGCUAUCUACCCCCGCAAUAUAAGACUCUCCUCUCUCGGAUUAAGAUCCUGAGGUCUAGAAGGAUAGAAGCUCAGCUCCUGUUGUGCUGCCCACAGAUUUCAACAUUCGUUUGGGUAAGUGUAUGAUGUCAUCUCUGCUACUAGACUUCCUCACCUCUAAUGAACUUUCCUUUCCAUUCUGCUUUCUUGUCUGCUUCCUUUUUAUCCUCAGAAAUGUCUGAUUCCUACAAAGCUGCAAAUUUGCAGUCUACUUUUGGACCAAAACAUCAUUGUCUGCCAACAUAUUUUUACUAUGAUGACAAUUUAUAAUCAGCUAACCAACUCUGUCACUUUCAGCUCACUGAUGCUCUCCUAUCUCUACCUACUUCCAUAUCUUAGUUCUAUCUAUCUUUCUCAUUAAUAAAUAAAUAUUU